AUUGAACGCUGGCGGCAUGCCUAACACAUGCAAGUCGAACGGCAGCACGGGAGCAAUCCUGGUGGCGAGUGGCGAACGGGUGAGUAAUAUAUCGGAACGUGCCCAGUCGUGGGGGAUAACGUAGCGAAAGCUACGCUAAUACCGCAUACGAUCUAUGGAUGAAAGCGGGGGAUCGCAAGACCUCGCGCGAUUGGAGCGGCCGAUAUCAGAUUAGGUAGUUGGUGAGGUAAAGGCUCACCAAGCCGACGAUCUGUAGCUGGUCUGAGAGGACGACCAGCCACACUGGGACUGAGACACGGCCCAGACUCCUACGGGAGGCAGCAGUGGGGAAUUUUGGACAAUGGGCGCAAGCCUGAUCCAGCAAUGCCGCGUGCAGGAUGAAGGCCUUCGGGUUGUAAACUGCUUUGUACGGAACGAAACGGUGAGCUCUAAUACAGUUUGCUAAUGACGGUACCGUAAGAAUAAGCACCGGCUAACUCCGUG
This 483-nucleotide ribosomal RNA is filed under the name uncultured bacterium. Its description in RNAcentral is "bacterial SSU rRNA". It matches the Rfam family "Bacterial small subunit ribosomal RNA", at positions 30 to 507 of the family's 1533-position model. The record is from RNAcentral.